UACGGGAGGCAGCAGUGGGGAAUAUUGCACAAUGGGCGCAAGCCUGAUGCAGCCAUGCCGCGUGUAUGAAGAAGGCCUUCGGGUUGUAAAGUACUUUCAGUCGUGAGGAAGGUGUUAAGGUUAAUAACCUUAGCAAUUGACGUUAGCGACAGAAGAAGCACCGGCUAACUCCGUGCCAGCAGCCGCGGUAAUACGGAGGGUGCAAGCGUUAAUCGGAAUUACUGGGCGUAAAGGGCACGCAGGCGGUUAAUUAAGUUGGAUGUGAAAUCCCCGGGCUUAACCUGGGAAUGGCAUUCAAGACUGGUUAGCUAGAGUCUUGUAGAGGGGGUAGAAUUCCAUGUGUAGCGGUGAAAUGCGUAGAGAUGUGGAGGAAUACCGGUGGCGAAGGCGGCCCCUGGGACAAAGACUGACGCUCAUGUGCGAAAGCGUGGGGAGCGAAACAGGGAUUAGAUACC
RNAcentral lists this ribosomal RNA (455 nucleotides) under uncultured bacterium. RNAcentral describes it as "bacterial SSU rRNA". It matches the Rfam family "Bacterial small subunit ribosomal RNA", at positions 340 to 786 of the family's 1533-position model. The record is from RNAcentral.